CCAAGGCUAAAUAUUCCUGACUGACCGAUAGUGAACCAGUACCGUGAGGGAAAGGCGAAAAGAACCCCGGCGAGGGGAGUGAAAAAGAACCUGAAACCGUGUACGUACAAGCAGUGGGAGCACCUUUAUGGUGUGACUGCGUACCUUUUGUAUAAUGGGUCAGCGACUUAUAUUCUGUAGCAAGGUUAACCGUAUAGGGGAGCCGCAGGGAAACCGAGUCUUAACUGGGCGUUAAGUUGCAGGGUAUAGACCCGAAACCCGGUGAUCUAGCCAUGGGCAGGUUGAAGGUU
RNAcentral lists this ribosomal RNA (290 nucleotides) under Pseudomonas aeruginosa. Its description in RNAcentral is "partial 23S ribosomal RNA". It matches the Rfam family "Bacterial large subunit ribosomal RNA", at positions 460 to 753 of the family's 2925-position model. The record is from RNAcentral. Lineage: Bacteria; Pseudomonadati; Pseudomonadota; Gammaproteobacteria; Pseudomonadales; Pseudomonadaceae.